Molecule: non-coding RNA, 3129 nt
Organism: Taeniopygia guttata (zebra finch)
Lineage: Eukaryota; Metazoa; Chordata; Aves; Passeriformes; Estrildidae
Source: RefSeq, a predicted model, not a curated record
UGGCUACACUCUUUUUACUUACCCUCAAAGCCAAGCAUUCAAUUAACUCAUCAGCUACCACUGGUCAGCCACCAACUUCGUUCUUUUUUUAAAGCUUUCAUGAAAAUAAAUCAAAGGAAUUGUGAAAAACGUAGUCAGAAGAAGCCCCAUCUAGGAUAGAACUUAAAAUUGAUUUCCAAUGAAAUCAUGGCUGGCAUGACAAGGAGGGUAGUAAGGGAUUACGUCUCUGUGACUGACUCAUGUGUUUUGCUGUUCUUUGAAAUCAAGAGCAUUGAUUUUUUUAUAGUUUUACUUGGGUUUUCUUCCAGCAUCCUGCGAUUCCCCAGGGCUCAGAAAGAUACAAUGCUUGACACACAGGGAAAUUGCUGAAAGGUCAGUGUGCUCAGUACACAUUGGCAGCAUCUGUGCUGCUGCUAUAUUUGUGAAGAUCCAAGCAAAUUCAAGGAAGAAAAUUAUAUUUGAAGACCAUUUUACCUUAAGUUUUUCAGCCUCCUGAAAAAUAUCUCUCAUUUCUAACCUUUAUUUAUAUAUUUGUGCACAGAUAGUCCACACAAGUUAAAACAGGCUGGCAUCUGAGUUUUUACACAGUUAGUGUAGCAAACUCACUCUCAAGUACAAGCCCAGCUUUUCCCUCUAAAUUAGUGACACCGUCCAGAUCCACAUGUACAAACAUCACAAGAACACAGACUGGCACUGACACCCAGCAGAGUCUGGCCAGCUCUGUGUCACCAGCUUGUCAGCAGCAUUUACUGGCACUGGCCAUGGCAAACCCAGCUUGUAUCCCAACACUGACUGAUCUUUUCUUGAUCUUUUCCCCAGCCUUGCAGUUAAGCCCCAGAGCAAAAGGUGGCUCAGAAACCAAAUGUGGAAUAAUUUCUAAAGUCAAUCUGAAACAAGUCAUGGCCUUAGCAUUGACUGAACAUAUAUCCCAAUCUAACCUCUGCCCUUUCACAGUGAGAUAUCCUUGUCUGCCACUGACCUGACAGAAGAACAUCUUUGUCUUCCUUGCAGACACCGUACUUUGCCCUGGAACUCUGUGAAUUCAAGCCCCAGUUUGAGCUCAAGCCUUUUCACCCCACUUCUUUUCCCCAGAGAGGGUUUUGCCCCAUUUUUCUUCCAGGCCAGCUAGAAAUUAGAAUGUCGUAGAGUUUGGAUUACUUGGUAGGUUUGCAUAAAUCAUAGUUUUACUCAGUGUAGCUUCUCACCUUCAUCCCAGACAAAGCUGUUCAUAACCUAAAAACUGCUUUAGGAUCAACUUUCUGCCUGAAUUCUGAAAAGCUUCCCCCGUAACCUGCAAUGAAUUCAAGCUUUGCCUUUUUUUCUUUUAUGCCUAGAGGUCAAAUCCUACUUUAUUCACAUGUUACCCAGUGAUCCAACCUCCUAUUUCAGAGCUUAUUUCCCAAUGACACUGGUUCACAUCAACUCUCAGCUCAGUUUAACAGGCCCAUUUAAUUGUUAUAUGAUUUUAUAAAUUUACACAAAAAACCUCCAGUUCCAUGCAUAACUAUUUACAUCCAGAAGGCUACAUAGCCUUAAUUUGGAAACAAAUAUACAGCCAUGAGCACCAGCCUUUCAUAUCUGUCUACCUUGCUAAAAACUGAGUCUUUUAUUAAGGUGGCGGUGCCAAGAGAACUUUGUUAAGAUGCUCAGAACUUGACAAGAAUCAGAUAUUUUAUUGGAAUUUCAACGAAAAUUACCUUAUUUUUCCUGUAGUAGGGAUACAGUGAUGUUUUAGACAUGACACAAUGUGUGCUAUGCACAUGUACUGUCUCAUAUUACUCUGGAUGCCACGUUUCCACUUACAUUAUAGUCUCAGAAGACAUUAUUGACUAACUUAAGAGUAAUGAUUGGAGCGGUUUUGUGUGGCAAGACUAUUACAAUCUGAUGACAAAUUGACCUAUUUUGUUUUAUUUUAUUCCUACAUCUAAGUAGACUAAAUUAUAUCAAAGAGUAAUUGGUAAUAGCUGAAAAUGUAAUCUGUUAGCUGCAGCAGUGAGACACAUAAUCAAACGAGGAAAGAGAUGAGGCAGCCUCUGCCUAUCUUUGGAAAUGUGAAUUUGCAUAUGACACUUAGACACCCGUGGAGCCAAACAGAAAAGGUUUAAAUUAGCAUGAUCAUCUCUGGAUUUAAACUUAUAGGUCACACUCGCAGUAACACCUCACCAGGCUACCAGAAAUCAGCCUGUUAGAGAAGCGCUUCUUUACCUGGAGCACAAGGUCACUCCAGAAGAAUAGAAGGACACUACAGAAGGACUACACACAGAUGAACUUCAGGACAAUUUUCACACCUUUCUGAACAUGACAGUUAGGGAGAAUUCAGCUGGGAGCCUAUCCUGAAAGGGAUACCCUGCCAUGCAUCUUCAGUAAACUCCUCACAGGAAAAGGUGGGCUGGUCAGAGGCAAAGAGCAGAGAGCCUCAGUCACACAAGUGGUCACAGAUUGUAAGUGAUACCUGCAGUUUUACCAGAAGCUCUCAGAGAAGUCUGCAGGCAGGAGCCAGGCAUGUAAACACAGGCGUGCAAAAUCAGUCUGCAGUGCUCACAAGGCUGGCGACUCAUCUGCAGCAGGAACGUCACGGGGAUCUGAAGGCAAAUCACCCUCGGCUCUGCCAAGGUUUGUCCUGCUGUCUCUUAGCUUAGUGAGGACGUAAAACACUGCAAACAGCAAGAGCCUCACUGAAGGGAUCAAACUUCGGGGUCACUCAGGUAAUGGGAAGUGACUGUGCUCUGCUACAUUCACCUCUCUGUAGACUUGGCAGAGAAAAUGUGCCCUUCCAUUGGAAUGGUUUCAGGGAUUACAGUUAAGGAAAUAUUCAAAACACCCCAGCUGAUCAUGAAAGAAGCCACAGAGAUAGGGGUGAGUAAAAACUGUCCACUCAGGGGAAAAAAACUAUUCUUCAAGCAGUUUUACCUAUAUUGCAUAUUUCUGAUGUUCUGAAUAUGCCAUGAGUCAAGUGACGUUUUCUUUCAGAAGACAAUAAAAUUUCAAGGACUCUGAAGGGGAAAUCACACGGUUACUAUAAUGGUUUGGAACCAUCAUCUGAUCCAUUAUUUGCAUGUAAUUUCCCUUGGGAAUGUAAUAUAAUAAAAUUCCAUUAAAUGUGAUGGACAUGGAAAAUGUCCACAAAGA